CAAAACGUAGCUUAACCAAAGCAUUUCGCUUACACCGAAAAAAUGCCCGUUCAACCCGGGCCGUCUUGA
Molecule: transfer RNA, 69 nt
Filed under: Scinax sp. 'x-signatus'
Lineage: Eukaryota; Metazoa; Chordata; Amphibia; Anura; Hylidae
Description: tRNA-Val
Rfam family: tRNA
About the family: Transfer RNA (tRNA) molecules are approximately 80 nucleotides in length. Their secondary structure includes four short double-helical elements and three loops (D, anti-codon, and T loops).
Source: RNAcentral